CCACUUCAUGGAAGGAGCAGGCGCGCAAUUACCCAAUCCUGACUCAGGGAGGUAGUGACAAGAAAUAACAAUAAACCGGCUUAUGCCGGUUUAAUUGGAAUGAGUACAAUUUAAACAUCUUAACGAGGAACAAUUGGAGGGCAAGUCUGGUGCCAGCAGCCGCGGUAAUUCCAGCUCCAAUAGCGUAUACUAAAGUUGUUGCAGUUAAAAAGCUCGUAGUUGGAUUUCUGUGGGGACGGAGCGGCCGGCCGCACAUCGCGGUUCGAGCUAGCGCUUUCCCUACAUCCUGCCGCGAACCGUGCUACCAUUAGUUUGGUGGCGCCGGGGAUCGGCUCGAUUACUUUGAGAAAAAUAGAGUGUUCAAAGCAGGCCACAUGCCUUGAAUAAGUUAGCAUGGAAUAAUAACUAAGGACUUCGGUUCUAUUUUGUUGGUGUUCGGGACUGAAGUAAUGAUUGAUAGGGACAGUUGGGGCGGUCUGUAUUCCAAAGCGAGAGGUGAAAUUCUUAGACCUUCGGAAGACAAACAGCUGCGAAAGCGUUCCGCGAGGAUGUUCCCUUUGAUCAAGAACGAAAGUUGGGGGAUCGAAGACGAUCAGAUACCGUCGUAGUCUCAACUAUAAACUAUACCAGCUAGGGAUCGGCCAACGUUAUUUUAUACCGACUUGGUCGGCACCUUAUGAGAAAUCAAAGCAUCUGGGUUCCGGGGGGAGUAUGGUCGCAAGGCUGAAACUUAAAGGAAUUGACGGAAGGGCACCACCAGCCGUGGAGCCUGUGGCUUAAUUUGACUCAACACGGGAAAACUUACCAGGUCCAGACAUAGUAAGGAUUGACAGAUUGAUAGCUCUUUCUUGAUUCUGUGGGUGGUGGUGCAUGGCCGUUCUUAGUUGGUGGAGUGAUUUGUCUGGUUAAUUCCGUUAACGAACGAGACCCCAGCCUGCUAAAUAGCGCGCGUGAGCUUUGCUCGCGGCGAGCUUCUUAGAGGGACUAUGAUGCGCGAUAGCACAUGGAAGUUUGGGGCAAUAACAGGUCUGUGAUGCCCUUAGAUGUUCUGGGCCGCACACGGGCUACACUGGCGCCUGCAACGAGCAUAUCAGCUGGCCCGAGAGGGUCUUGGCUAAUCUUUUGAACCGGCGCCGUGCUUGGGAUUGACCUUUGCAAUUGUUGGUCAUGCAACGAGGAAUGCCUUGUAAACGCGAGUCAUCAGCUCGCAUUGAAUACGUCCCUGCCCUUUGUACACACCGCCCGUCGCUCCUACCGAUGAAUGUUCCGAUGAAAUUUUCGGAGAGCACCUGUGAACUUGGCUCUGCCUUGCGAACGGGAGGCUCAAAAGUCACUUAAAUCUGAAAACAUUAA
Molecule: ribosomal RNA, 1353 nt
Filed under: uncultured marine eukaryote
Lineage: Eukaryota
Description: SSU rRNA
Rfam family: Eukaryotic small subunit ribosomal RNA
Source: RNAcentral